CAAGAGUUGUAACAAACUCCCUAACCCUUUGUGAACCAUUACCUGUUCGUUUUGCUUUCGGCAGGCAGCCCCAGGGCGGGGCUCGCGGCCUGGGCUUUCCCAGGUGUCUGCCGCAGGGCUAACAACAAACUCUUUACUAUACCAUACUGUCUGAGUUUUACAAAAAAAACAAGUUA
This 176-nucleotide unclassified non-coding RNA is filed under the name uncultured fungus. RNAcentral describes it as "sequence contains ITS1". Lineage: Eukaryota; Fungi. The record is from RNAcentral.